CCUACGGGGGGCUGCAGUGAGGAAUAUUGGUCAAUGGGCGCAAGCCUGAACCAGCCAAGCCGCGUGAGGGAUGACGGUCCUAUGGAUUGUAAACCUCUUUUGUCGGGGAGCAAGGCCCGCCACGUGUGGCGGGAAGGAGAGUACCCGAAGAAAAAGCAUCGGCUAACUCCGUGCCAGAAGCCGCGGUAAUACGGAGGAUGCGAGCGUUAUCCGGAUUUGUUGGGUUUACAGGGUGCGUAGGCGGAAGGUUAAGUCAGCGGUCAAAUGUCGGUGCUCAACACCGGCCUGCCGUUGAAACUGGUCUUCUUGAGUGAGCGAGAAGUAUGCGGAAUGCGUGGUGUAGCGGUGAAAUGCAUAGAUAUCACGCAGAACUCCGAUUGCGAAGGCAGCAUACCGGCGCUCAACUGACGCUGAGGCACGAAAGCGUGGGGAUCGAACAGGAUUAGAUACCCUGGUAGUC
This 460-nucleotide ribosomal RNA is filed under the name uncultured bacterium. RNAcentral's name for it is "partial 16S ribosomal RNA". It matches the Rfam family "Bacterial small subunit ribosomal RNA", at positions 338 to 795 of the family's 1533-position model. The record is from RNAcentral.